Triticum urartu is the source of this 135-nucleotide non-coding RNA. NCBI's taxonomy places the organism in Eukaryota, Viridiplantae, Streptophyta, Magnoliopsida, Poales, Poaceae. The record is from Rfam.
UUUCUACUCCCUCCGUCCGAAAAUAUUUGUCAUCAAAAUGGAUAAAAAGAGAUUUAUCUAACACUAAAAUACGUCUAGAUACAUUUCCUUUUAUCCAUUUUGAUGACAAGUAUUUCCGGAUGGAUGGAGUAUGUC